Molecule: ribosomal RNA, 465 nt
Filed under: Vreelandella stevensii
Lineage: Bacteria; Pseudomonadati; Pseudomonadota; Gammaproteobacteria; Oceanospirillales; Halomonadaceae
Description: partial 16S ribosomal RNA
Rfam family: Bacterial small subunit ribosomal RNA
Source: RNAcentral
CCUACGGGGGGCUGCAGUGGGGAAUAUUGGACAAUGGGGGCAACCCUGAUCCAGCCAUGCCGCGUGUGUGAAGAAGGCCCUCGGGUUGUAAAGCACUUUCAGUGAGGAAGAACGCCGUGUGGUUAAUACCCAUCAGGAAAGACAUCACUCACAGAAGAAGCACCGGCUAACUCCGUGCCAGCAGCCGCGGUAAUACGGAGGGUGCGAGCGUUAAUCGGAAUUACUGGGCGUAAAGCGCGCGUAGGUGGCUUGAUAAGCCGGUUGUGAAAGCCCCGGGCUCAACCUGGGAACGGCAUCCGGAACUGUCAAGCUAGAGUGCAGGAGAGGAAGGUAGAAUUCCCGGUGUAGCGGUGAAAUGAGUAGAGAUCGGGAGGAAUACCAGUGGCGAAGGCGGCCUUCUGGACUGACACUGACACUGAGGUGCGAAAGCGUGGGUAGCAAACAGGAUUAGAUACCCCAGUAGUC